UAUUGGAGCUAAAAUUUGGUGCCAUGACUUUGGGGAUUUUCGGCCAAAUCCAAAGGGUGGUUUUUUGGGUUCUUGUUUGACUUGUUAAAAGUGUUUUCAAGUGACUUUUGGAACCCCUAUGUACCCUAGUUUGGUUAGAUGUUAUUUCCCUAAAGUUUAAAUGGUUUUGGGAUGUUUUUGGGUGAAAAAGGUUCAUGGAAAAAUUUUGGGUUUUUCAUGAAUGUUCUUCAUUGUUCUUGACAUUUUUGCCAAGAACAAAAAGUUUGGUGUUUUGAUUCAAAGUUUUGAUUAAUUUCAUAAAGUAUUUGUUUUGUGUUGAUUGGUGUGAAAUAUCUAUCAUCAAAACAUUUAUAUUUUUUGAAAGGUGAUAGAAAUUGUGAUGGGUGUGUAAGACUUACACACCACAUGCAUGGUUUUAUGAUUUACACCAACCAAAAACCACUUGCAAGGCUUUAUGAAAUUGUUGAAAAAAUUUCCAAAUUUUUGUGGACUUAUCUCCACUCCCUUUCCCUCUCUAAAAAUCGGCCCUCCCUCAAUGGGAGUACUUUUGAGUCUUUUAUGCAAUUACAUAAAGUUUUGAUACUUUUGUGUAUUUGCACUUUGGCCCAAAAAGUUUACGUUUUUACGUUAAGGUCCAAAAACGCUAAAGGACAAAUUGUUUUGAUCCUUUAAUGAAGUUUUUGCAUUGAUUAAAUUUUGGGUUCUAUUGUAAUUACAUGAAGUAGUGGACUUUUGUGUCUUUACAAAGUGACCCCAAAAGUUUUGCAAUAUAGCCCAAAAGUUGAGGUUAAUUGCA
Molecule: long non-coding RNA, 796 nt
Filed under: Malus domestica (apple)
Lineage: Eukaryota; Viridiplantae; Streptophyta; Magnoliopsida; Rosales; Rosaceae
Description: long non-coding RNA (MDOM_LNC016856)
Source: RNAcentral